Non-coding RNA from Mesorhizobium sp. LNHC252B00, 67 nucleotides. The record is from Rfam. Lineage: Bacteria; Pseudomonadati; Pseudomonadota; Alphaproteobacteria; Hyphomicrobiales; Phyllobacteriaceae.
UGUCAAGAGUCGUGGCGUCGUUUCGGCGAGCAGAUUUCUUUUGCCUUUUUGAAAGGUGAGGGAAAUG